GAUCAUUACUGAUUUGCUUAAUUGCACCACAUGUGUUUUUCUUUGAAACAAACUUGCUUUGGCGGUGGGCCCAGCCUGCCGCCAGAGGUCUAAACUUACAACCAAUUUUUUAUCAACUUGUCACACCAGAUUAUUACUAAUAGUCAAAACUUUCAACAACGGAUCUCUUGGUUCUCGCAUCGAUGAAGAACGCAGCGAAAUGCGAUACGUAAUAUGAAUUGCAGAUAUUCGUGAAUCAUCGAAUCUUUGAACGCACAUUGCGCCCUCUGGUAUUCCGGAGGGCAUGCCUGUUUGAGCGUCGUUUCUCCCUCAAACCGCUGGGUUUGGUGUUGAGCAAUACGACUUGGGUUUGCUUGAAAGACGGUAGUGGUAAGGCGGGAUCGCUUUGACAAUGGCUUAGGUCUAACCAAAAACAUUGCUUGCGGCGGUAACGUCCACCACGUAUAUCUUCAAACU
RNAcentral lists this unclassified non-coding RNA (456 nucleotides) under Candida albicans. RNAcentral's name for it is "sequence contains 18S rRNA gene, ITS1, 5.8S rRNA gene, ITS2, 28S rRNA gene". The stretch from base 148 to 301 matches the Rfam family "5.8S ribosomal RNA". Lineage: Eukaryota; Fungi; Ascomycota; Pichiomycetes; Serinales; Debaryomycetaceae. The record is from RNAcentral.